UGACAUAUAGUAUAAUGGUUAGUGCAUAUUAUUACGAAUAAUAUAAUGUAAGUUCGAUUCUUACUAUGUCAU
This 72-nucleotide transfer RNA is filed under the name Yamadazyma jaroonii. RNAcentral describes it as "[Candida] jaroonii transfer RNA-Arg(ACG)". It matches the Rfam family "tRNA". Rfam says of the family: Transfer RNA (tRNA) molecules are approximately 80 nucleotides in length. Their secondary structure includes four short double-helical elements and three loops (D, anti-codon, and T loops). Further hydrogen bonds mediate the characteristic L-shaped molecular structure. tRNAs have two regions of fundamental functional importance: the anti-codon, which is responsible for specific mRNA codon recognition, and the 3' end, to which the tRNAs corresponding amino acid is attached (by aminoacyl-tRNA synthetases). tRNAs cope with the degeneracy of the genetic code in two manners: having more than one tRNA (with a specific anti-codon) for a particular amino acid; and 'wobble' base-pairing, i.e. permitting non-standard base-pairing at the 3rd anti-codon position. The record is from RNAcentral. Lineage: Eukaryota; Fungi; Ascomycota; Pichiomycetes; Serinales; Debaryomycetaceae.